RNAcentral lists this microRNA (23 nucleotides) under Ixodes scapularis (black-legged tick). Its description in RNAcentral is "isc-miR-5307". RNAcentral also lists the same sequence under 1 other name. Lineage: Eukaryota; Metazoa; Arthropoda; Arachnida; Ixodida; Ixodidae. The record is from miRBase by way of RNAcentral.
UAAUCUCAUUUGGUAUCUCUGGG